RNAcentral lists this transfer RNA (66 nucleotides) under Oxyzygonectes dovii. Its description in RNAcentral is "tRNA-Cys". The record is from RNAcentral. Lineage: Eukaryota; Metazoa; Chordata; Actinopteri; Cyprinodontiformes; Anablepidae.
AGUCUUGAAGUAUAAUUACGUUAGAUUGCAAAUCUAAAGAAGCGGGGUAAGCCCCCGCCGGACUUU